AGGACGAACGCUGGCGGCGUGCUUAACACAUGCAAGUCGAGCGGAAAGGCCCUUCGGGGUACUCGAGCGGCGAACGGGUGAGUAACACGUGAGCAACCUGCCCUUAGCUUCGGGAUAGCUCCGGGAAACCGGAAUUAAUACCGGAUAUGACUAUGGCCGACAUCAGCCAUGGUGGAAAGUUUUUCGGCUAGGGAUGGACUCGCGGCCUAUCAGCUAGUUGGUGAGGUAACGGCUCACCAAGGCGACGACGGGUAGCCGGCCUGAGAGGGCGACCGGCCACACUGGGACUGAGACACGGCCCAGACUCCUACGGGAGGCAGCAGUGGGGAAUAUUGCGCAAUGGGCGAAAGCCUGACGCAGCGACGCCGCGUGGGGGAUGAAUGCCUUCGGGUUGUAAACCCUUUCAGCAGGGACGAAGCGAAAGUGACGGUACCUGCAGAGAAGCGCCGGCUAACUACGCGCCAGCAGCCGC
RNAcentral lists this ribosomal RNA (472 nucleotides) under uncultured bacterium. Its description in RNAcentral is "SSU rRNA". It matches the Rfam family "Bacterial small subunit ribosomal RNA", at positions 26 to 518 of the family's 1533-position model. The record is from RNAcentral.